GCCACCACCUCUCGGCCGGCGGAGAGGUGGGGCUCGGCUGGGGCUGGCGGCCUUGAGGCCGCGUUGGUCGCCGGCACGGCAGACCCGGCGGCCCUUGGCUGCCCCUCAGCCCUAGGGCAGCCAUGGCCGGGGCCUGUCACCCGCAGGCCGAGUCCGGCUGGGCUCGGCCCGGGUGGCGUUGGGCUCGGCUUGGGCCGUUCUCAGGCCGGCCCGCGGCCUGUGGGUCCGGCCCACGGCCCUCCUCCUGUUUUUCUCUCCCGUGCCGGUCUCCCCCUCUCUGUGCCAGUCUCCUCCAUUCUGUGCCAGUCUCCUCCCCUCUGUUUCAUCAGUGAAACAGAGGGGAGAAUACCCCACAGAGGGGUUUCUCCUUGCUUUAUGAUUUUAUUAACAGGGAGUCCAUACCUGGUUUUAGUCGGGUGUAGUCGGGUGUAGUCGGGCAGUGCUUCCUCCCUGGUAGUCCCCCCUUCUUCAGAGCUCCAGGGCUCCUUGGCCUUAGGCUCCAGGGCUCCGGCUCCCUCUCUCUUUCUCUCGUUCGGUGUUUAGGGGGGUCUGUGACUUGGGGUUGCCGGCAGAGGCUUAAAUAACUGAUUAGAGGAUGAAACCCUCCUCUGAGACGUCCCAUCCUCUCCUUUCCUCCAUACUCCGGGACUGGCCGCCGCCCCCCCUUGUCUUCGGCGCGCCGGCAUCGGCUGCCAGCAGGGGUGAGGGUCACCCUUCCCUGUCGGUCUUAUCCCUUCGUAUUUUAAUAUUUUUUUUUUCUGAUAAGUAUUAUAAUUAUACUGCCUACAGUGACAUUUGGGCCCAACCCUUAN
RNAcentral lists this long non-coding RNA (812 nucleotides) under Phoenix dactylifera (date palm). RNAcentral's name for it is "long non-coding RNA (PDAC_LNC012241)". Lineage: Eukaryota; Viridiplantae; Streptophyta; Magnoliopsida; Arecales; Arecaceae. The record is from RNAcentral.